AAUUAAAAAUUUUAUCUAUUAGUACUGAUAAAUUUUGAUGUGGAUGAUAAAGUAACCAGAUAAUGGCAUGUGGCAUGCCAUGUGCAUUUUAUGUUGACAUAUGAGAUCUAAUUUUUAACAACAGAAAUAGAUUAAUUUUUUAACA
Molecule: non-coding RNA, 145 nt
Organism: Gossypium raimondii (Peruvian cotton)
Lineage: Eukaryota; Viridiplantae; Streptophyta; Magnoliopsida; Malvales; Malvaceae
Source: Rfam